AUUGAACGCUGGCGGCAUGCCUUACACAUGCAAGUCGAACGGCAGCACGGGUGCUUGCACCUGGUGGCGAGUGGCGAACGGGUGAGUAAUACAUCGGAACGUACCUUAUCGUGGGGGAUAACGCAGCGAAAGCUGUGCUAAUACCGCAUACGCCCUGAGGGGGAAAGCGGGGGAUCGCAAGACCUCGCGCGAUUAGAGCGGCCGAUGCCUGAUUAGCUUGUUGGUGGGGUAAAAGCCCACCAAGGCGACGAUCAGUAGCUGGUCUGCGAGGACGAUCAGCACAACUGGGACUGGGACACGGCCCAGACCCCUACGGGAGGCAGCAGUGGGGAAUUUUGGACAAUGGGGGCAACCCUGAUCCAGCAAUGCCGCGUGAGUGAAGAAGGCCUUCGGGUUGUAAAGCUCUUUUGUCAGGGAAGAAACACCGGCUCUAACACAGUCCGGGAAUGACGGUACCUGAAGAAUAAGCACCGGCUAACUACGUGCCAGCCGCCGCAGUAA
RNAcentral lists this ribosomal RNA (501 nucleotides) under uncultured bacterium. RNAcentral's name for it is "partial 16S ribosomal RNA". It matches the Rfam family "Bacterial small subunit ribosomal RNA", at positions 29 to 523 of the family's 1533-position model. The record is from RNAcentral.